RNAcentral lists this signal recognition particle RNA (97 nucleotides) under Verrucomicrobiota bacterium. RNAcentral's name for it is "Verrucomicrobia bacterium signal recognition particle sRNA small type". It matches the Rfam family "Bacterial small signal recognition particle RNA". Rfam says of the family: The signal recognition particle (SRP) is a universally conserved ribonucleoprotein involved in the co-translational targeting of proteins to membranes. Archaeal SRP consists of a 7S RNA and homologues of the eukaryotic SRP19 and SRP54 proteins. In most bacteria, the SRP consists of a 4.5S RNA and the Ffh protein (a homologue of the eukaryotic SRP54 protein). Lineage: Bacteria; Pseudomonadati; Verrucomicrobiota. The record is from RNAcentral.
CGCCAGGGCCCAUGGACUGUGGACUUACGAACCCCGCCAGGGCCGGAAGGCAGCAACGGUAGUCUGCUCUGCGGAUGCCGUGGUCACCCUGGCAUUU